RNAcentral lists this ribosomal RNA (116 nucleotides) under Escherichia coli. Lineage: Bacteria; Pseudomonadati; Pseudomonadota; Gammaproteobacteria; Enterobacterales; Enterobacteriaceae. The record is from RNAcentral.
UGGCGGCCUUAGCGCGGUGGUCCCACCCUGACCCCAUGCCGAACUCAGAAGUGAAACGCCGUAGCGCCGAUGGUAGUGUGGGGUCUCCCCAUGCGAGAGUAGGGAACUGCCAGGCA